Molecule: microRNA precursor, 136 nt
Filed under: Hordeum vulgare
Lineage: Eukaryota; Viridiplantae; Streptophyta; Magnoliopsida; Poales; Poaceae
Description: microRNA MIR1122
Rfam family: MIR1120/MIR1122 microRNA precursor family
Source: RNAcentral
GAUAUACUCCCUCCGUCCCAAUUUUUUUGUCUUAGAUUUAUUUAGAUAUGAAUGUAUCUAGUCAAGUUUUAGUAUUUCGAUACAUCCAUUUCUAGACAAAGCUAAGACAAGAAUUUUGGGACGGAGGGAGUAUGUA